GGGGAUGUAUAGCUUUGACGUGGCGUGCUCAUUAACAUCUGCAGAUCGUCUUUGACUAGAGAAGACGUUAAACAGAGUCAAAACUUAUAACUGCAAAUAAAACAGCAGAUACAGUUGCAAGCAGAGCUAAAUCUAUGCUUCUUGAGGUUGGUGAAACAGCUUCAGCAGCUUUUAGCUCUCGUGUAGCUCCACAAUACGCUACGCUCGUAGCGUAAACUGGCAUUCACGCAUCUCCUCUCACUGAUGGGAGUGUGUGGGUGAAAACCUCAGUCGGUGUGACGGCGUUUUGUCUCCUUUCGCUGGGCGCUCAAGACUUUUGAAAGGGAGUGUGCUGGUAGGUUUGUCUAUCUACCGCCAGUGCUCUACUACAAAAAUAGCCUAUGUCUGUAGAUGAUGUUGGUGUGUUCACACGGACGCGGGCUCGAUACCCGCCAUCUCCACCA
RNAcentral lists this transfer-messenger RNA (443 nucleotides) under Patescibacteria group. Its description in RNAcentral is "JACKFY01 sp020632235 Standard tmRNA". It matches the Rfam family "transfer-messenger RNA". Rfam says of the family: Bacterial tmRNA, also known as 10Sa RNA or SsrA, is named for its dual tRNA and mRNA-like properties. Its role is to liberate the mRNA from a stalled ribosome. To accomplish this part of the tmRNA is used as a reading frame that ends in a translation stop signal. RNAcentral also lists the same sequence under 2 other names. The record is from RNAcentral.